RNAcentral lists this ribosomal RNA (172 nucleotides) under uncultured bacterium. RNAcentral's name for it is "partial 16S ribosomal RNA". It matches the Rfam family "Bacterial small subunit ribosomal RNA", at positions 335 to 524 of the family's 1533-position model. The record is from RNAcentral. RNAcentral also lists the same sequence under 2 other names.
ACUCCUACGGGAGGCAGCAGUGGGGAAUAUUGCACAAUGGGCGAAAGCCUGAUGCAGCAACGCCGCGUGAACGAUGAAGGUCUUCGGAUCGUAAAGUUCUGUCGCAGGGGAAGAUAAUGACGGUACCCUGUGAGGAAGCACCGGCUAACUACGUGCCAGCAGCCGCGGUAAU